RNAcentral lists this ribosomal RNA (468 nucleotides) under uncultured bacterium. RNAcentral describes it as "partial 16S ribosomal RNA". It matches the Rfam family "Bacterial small subunit ribosomal RNA", at positions 28 to 507 of the family's 1533-position model. The record is from RNAcentral.
GAUGAACGCUGGCGGCGUGCUUAACACAUGCAAGUCGAACGGUGAACCCGGAGCUUGCUCUGUGGGAUCAGUGGCGAACGGGUGAGUAACACGUGAGUAACCUGCCCCUGACUCUGGGAUAAGCGCUGGAAACGGCGUCUAAUACUGGAUAUGUGACGUGAUCGCAUGGUCUGCGUCUGGAAAGAAUUUCGGUUGGGGAUGGGCUCGCGGCCUAUCAGCUUGUUGGUGAGGUACUGGCUCACCAAGGCGUCGACGGGUAGCCGGCCUGAGAGGGUGACCGGCCACACUGGGACUGAGACACGGCCCAGACUCCUACGGGAGGCAGCAGUGGGGAAUAUUGCACAAUGGGCGCAAGCCUGAUGCAGCAACGCCGCGUGAGGGAUGACGGCCUUCGGGUUGUAAACCGCUUUUAGCAGGGAAGAAGCGAAAGUGACGGUACCUGCAGAAAAAGCGCCGGCUAACUACGUG